AUGCUGGGCUAGCACCUGCACUUCCAGGAACCUGAGGUCGGCUGCUGUGGGAAACACUGCCUUUUUGGCUUCAACAUUGUCUUCUGGGUGCUGGGAGCCCUGUUCCUGGCCAUUGGCCUCUGGGCCUGGGCUGAGAAGGGCGUUCUCUGCAACAUCUCAGCACUGACAGAUCUGGGAGGCCUUGAGCCCGUGUGGCUGUUGGAAGCGGUUGGAGGUGUGUCAGUGCUGGGCUUUGACAGCGGCACUGGGGCUCUGUGGGAGAACACCUUCCUGCGCAAGCUUUUCUCCGUGUUUCUCAGCCUCAUUUUCUUCCUGGAGCUGGCGACAGGGAUCCUGGCCUUCAUAUGCAAGGACUGGAUUCAAGACCAGCUCAGUUUCUUCCAUCAAUAACAAUGUCAGGAAUCUCUUUGCUCAGGAAUAGUGGUUUUGCUGUGGAGCCCGAGGGCCUAAUGGUUGGCCCCUCAAUCUGUAUUUCAACUGCACUGACUUGAACCUGAGCCAGGAGCACUGCGGGGUCCCCUUCUCCUGCUGCGCCAGGGACCCAGCAGAAGAUGUCCUCAAUACCCAGUGUGGCCACGAUAGCCAGCUCACACUGGGGCUGGAGCAGCAGGGCUCCAUCCGCACUAAAGGCUGCAUGGGGUCUUUGUGGGCAUCGCCCUUCUCCAGACCUUUGGUAUCUACCUGGCCCAGAACCUUGUGAGUGCCAUCAAGGCAGUGAAGGCCAGUUGGUGAGGUUGCCACACUGGUGCACAGGGAGCUACCAUCUCCACUCCUGUUGGGUGGUGGGCUCCCAAGGGGACCGGGAAUGGUACAGCUAAGAGGGCGCAGGCCAGGUGGGGUGGGAGGGGUCUGCCAUAUCCCCACCCAGGCUGGGACACACUUCUCUGUGCAUGACUGUGUGAGGCAGGCCUGGGGCCCGCUGUUGCCUGGGACACAGCUUCACGAAGCGGCUUCAGAGCUGUCUUCUCUACUAGCUGUGACCUUGACCCUGCCUGGAGCCCACUUGAGCCUCACCGGUGGCCUUAGACUCUAAAAUGGGCCCAAGAAUUUUCUCUCCCUUGCUUGCUUGCCUCUCCGGAUCAAACAUGGUGAUGGCUAGAAACUACUCAAACAAAACCUUAACCCUGUUCCUCCCCACCCCCCAAAAGAUAUUAUUUAUGUAUGUGUGU
Molecule: non-coding RNA, 1169 nt
Organism: Leptonychotes weddellii (Weddell seal)
Lineage: Eukaryota; Metazoa; Chordata; Mammalia; Carnivora; Phocidae
Source: RefSeq, a predicted model, not a curated record